Acinetobacter sp. CAG:196 is the source of this 390-nucleotide non-coding RNA. The record is from Rfam. NCBI's taxonomy places the organism in Bacteria, Pseudomonadati, Pseudomonadota, Gammaproteobacteria, Moraxellales, Moraxellaceae.
GGGGAUGUACUGGUUUUGACGCCGUGAUUGGUAGAUCCGGAUUGCGAGUGCGGGCGCUGUUCCCGCUUAUCAACGAGCAAACUAAAUUAAAUGCUAACGACAACGUUAUUGCAUUCCCUUCAAGAGCUAGACUCGCUGCCUAAUUGCAGUUAGGGACCUUCUAAGUGACCAGCUUGCCGUUGCUUAGGAUGACAUUAUGCAAGAUGCAGUACGCAAAUGAUGGUAUGCGUAUCAAGUUUAACCAUUGGAGGUUAGACUUCCGUAAAAAGUCUGAGGCUUAGUUCAGGUUUCGUAACUUUCCGUAUUAAGCCAAGAUAAUAAGUUACUACACUCGUAGAUGUUCGUUUUUAUCCACGAUGGACGCGGGUUCGACUCCCGCCAUCUCCAGUU